AUACGUAGGGGACGAGCGUUGUCCGGAAUUACUGGGCGUAAAGGGCGCGCAGGCGGAUAUUUAAGUCAGCUGUAAAAGGCAUGAGCUCAACUCAUGUAUGCGGUUGAAACUGGGUAUCUAGAGUGCUGGAGAGGUAGGCGGAAUUCCCGGUGUAGCGGUGAAAUGCGUAGAUAUCGGGAAGAACACCAGUGGCGAAGGCGGCUUACUGGCCAGCAACUGACGCUGAGGCGCGAAAGCCAGGGGAGCGAACGGGAUUAGAUUCCCCGGUAGUCCUGGCCGUAAACGAUGAAUGCUAGGUGUGGGUGUCGAGAGGCAUCCGUGCCGGAGUUAACGCGAUAAGCAUUCCGCCUGGGGAGUACGAUCGCAAGAUUGAAACUCAAAUGAAUGGACGGGG
Molecule: ribosomal RNA, 394 nt
Filed under: uncultured bacterium
Lineage: Bacteria
Description: partial 16S ribosomal RNA
Rfam family: Bacterial small subunit ribosomal RNA
Source: RNAcentral